AGCCUUGUACACACCGCCCGUCAAGCCACGAAAGCGGGGGGCGUCUAAAGCCGCUCGUCUAACCGCAAGGAGGACGGCGUCCAGGGCGAAACUCGUGAUUGGGACU
This 106-nucleotide ribosomal RNA is filed under the name uncultured bacterium. RNAcentral describes it as "partial 16S ribosomal RNA". It matches the Rfam family "Bacterial small subunit ribosomal RNA", at positions 1377 to 1482 of the family's 1533-position model. The record is from RNAcentral.